Molecule: ribosomal RNA, 610 nt
Filed under: Cytospora sp. RM-2019f
Lineage: Eukaryota; Fungi; Ascomycota; Sordariomycetes; Diaporthales; Cytosporaceae
Description: partial large subunit ribosomal RNA
Rfam family: Eukaryotic large subunit ribosomal RNA
Source: RNAcentral
UGUAUAUCCAAUAGCGGAGGAAAAGAAACCAACAGGGAUUGCCCUAGUAACGGCGAGUGAAGCGGCAACAGCUCAAAUUUGAAAGCUGGCUCCGGCCCGCAUUGUAAUUUGCAGAGGAUGCUUCUGGUGAGGUGCCUUCCGAGUUCCCUGGAACGGGACGCCAUAGAGGGUGAGAGCCCCGUAUGGAUGGACACCAAACCUGUGUGAAGCUCCUUCAACGAGUCGAGUAGUUUGGGAAUGCUGCUCUAAAUGGGAGGUAAAUCUCUUCUAAAGCUAAAUACCGGCCAGAGACCGAUAGCGCACAAGUAGAGUGAUCGAAAGAUGAAAAGCACCUUGAAAAGGGGGUUAAACAGUACGUGAAAUUGUUGAAAGGGAAGCGCUUGUGACCAGACUUGCGCCGGGCAGCUCAUCAGGGGUUCUCCCCUGUGCACUCUGCCCGGCUCAGGCCAGCAUCGGUUCUCGUGGGAGGAUAAGAACGGUUGGAACGUGGCCCCCCUCCGGGGGGGUGUUAUAGCCUACCGUACGAUACUCCCGUGGGGACCGAGGUUCGCGCUCCGCAAGGAUGCUGGCGUAAUGGUCAUCAGCGACCCGUCUUGAACCACGGACCCAA